GUUGUGUUCGUUCGAUUGGUUGGCGCAUUUGCGUACAGAGUGCGCUGAAUCGGUCGGUCGUGCUGUUCGAUCGGCGUGUAGAGGACCGAACUUGUUCGGAAUCCUGCAUGUUGUGAGGGCAGAUGCGGUUGGCUGUUCAUGUUGGUUGCCGGUGAAUUCGUGGUGGCGGCAYUCGGUUAGAUGGCUCGUGUUGGAUGCUUGCAUACUGCGCUUGUCGUCGACGUCGGGAGUCGUCGCUGCUCCGCAACACAUUCGGCGUAUAGUCGGUCACUCAUAUGACCCGUCUUGAAACACGGACCAAGGAGUUUAAGGUGUGCGCAAGUCAUUGGAUUUGGAAAUUCAAAGGCGCAAUGAAAGUGAGCCACCUGGUGGCUGUGAUGUGAGCGGUCGGCGAUUCGUCCCUCCCGUGCAACAUCGCCCCAUGACUAGGCCUCGGUCUGUUGUGGCGGCUGAGCGUACGCUUUGAGACCCGAAAGAUGGGAACUAUGCCCGAMCAGGACS
This 501-nucleotide ribosomal RNA is filed under the name Robustodorus subtenuis. RNAcentral describes it as "eukaryotic LSU rRNA". The record is from RNAcentral. Lineage: Eukaryota; Metazoa; Nematoda; Chromadorea; Rhabditida; Aphelenchoididae.